UAUCGGUAGCACGGAGCGCUCCGUGCUACCAAGUUGUUUUCGAUGAUGCGGCUUCCAAAUCGACGAUCGGCUCCGUUAGACUUGAUUUACACUAUUGAAAGUAUUUGGAAACUAAAUUUCAAAUUUUUUCGACAUCAUUUGACUAGUGAUCGAAAGAUCUCAAAAUUGACAAUUUUAAUGGCCGAUGUGGUGUGUUUGAGAGUUUAACGGUGUAAAACAAUUCAAAUCCGAUGAAAAUUUUAUAGAAAAUUUUUUUCACUAUUUAGAGUAAGAUCAGUAUAUAUCUUGAAUUUAAAUUUUUUAUUAUCAUUUUUCAUGAGAUUUUUAUUUUCAGCCGUUCAAUUUUAGAGUACUUGUUUGAUAGGUACAUGAUAUAUAUAUAGAACUAGGCUGGAAUACUAUUAAUAGCAUCAAGCCAUUGGUGCUAUUAAUUUUGUAGCCCUUGGAUUGAGAAAUGUAUGAUUAGGAUGAUGUGGACCCCAUAGGGUUGAGUGGGUGGUUGGUUGAAUAGUAUAAUCUAACGGGUAAAAAUAAUUAAAGGGUUAACUCUAACGGUAGAAAACUCGAUAGCACCAACCCUUUGUGCUAUCGAUAGUAUUCCAGUCGGACUAUAUAUAUAUAUAUAUAUAGGCUAGAGCUACUAUACUCUUAUGAAUAUAGAGCCUUUCAUACUCAUAAGUUGUUUUCAAUGAUUGAGCUUCCGAAUUGACGAUCCACUCCGUUAAAUAUGAUCUAGAAUAUUUGAAACUUCUAGAAAGUAAAUUUCGUAAUUUUUCGAAAUCAUAAUAAAGUUCAUCAAGCGGGUAUAAAAUGAACGGUCAAAAUUGAACGACAUCUUAAAAAUUGAUGUUCGGAUCAUUCAAUUUAAGAUUGGAGUUAUUGAUUUUUAUCUAUGUAGUGAAUAGAAUUAUUUAUAGAAAAUUCAACCGAUUUCGAUUCUUUUACACCGUUAAACUAGCAAAUAUCCCAUACCGGCCGUUAAAAAUUGUCAAUUUUGUGACAUUUUGAUCGUAAGGUAAAUGAUGUUGAAAAAUUAUAAAAUUUGAUUUCUAGACGUUUUAAAUGCUCUAAAUAGCGUUUAACGGUGUGAAUCGUCGAUUCGGAAGCUCUGUCAUAAAAAAGAACUUAUGAGUACGAGGGCAAACGGGCUCCGUUGAGUUAGAAUACUAUCGAUAGCAAACGGGCUCCGUUGCCACCCAUUUGUUUUCAAUGAUAGAGCCUCCAAAUCGACUAUCGGUACCGUUGAACAUGAUCUAUACCACUUGAAGUGUUUAGGAAUCAAAUUUCAAAUCUUUUCGACAUCAUUUGCCUAAUGAUUAAAGGGUUUCAAAAUUUAUAAUUUUAAUGAUUGAUAUGAGGUUUUUCUCGUUUAACGGCGUAAAGAUAUCCAAAUCAAUUGAAUUUUUUUUAGAAAAUUCUUUAAACUAUUUAAAACAAGAUCUAUACUCUUGAUCUUGAUUACAAGACUCCUAUCAUCAUUUUUUUAAGAAUAUUCAUUUUCAGACGUUCAUUUUUGUGUCCACUCGAUGGAUUAGAGAACAAUAUCGAAAAUGUAUGAAAUUUGAUAUCUAAAUACUUUAAGAGGUAUAGAUCAUGUUCAACGGUGCCGAUCGUCGAUUUGAAGGCUCAUGAUCGAAAACAAAUAGGUGGCAAAGGAGCCUGUUUGCUAGCGAGUAUUCUAGCUCAACUAUAUAUAUAUAUAUAUAUAUAUAUAUAUGUAGCAGGACUACUAUGCUAUUAGAAGCGCAUAAGUCCUUAUACUCCUAAGUUUCUAAGCAUCUAUCAAUUUUGAUGAAUGGUUAGAGUAAGAGAGAGGAGAGAAAUUGGAGAGAUAUUCAAAGAGAAAAAAAUUUGAAAAAUCUAAUUUCUCUCCAAUUUGUUUUAUCUCUUUAAUUCUAAUCAUCUAUCAAAAUUGAUGAAUAAUUAAAAAUUUAGAAGUAUAAAUGUUACUGUACUUCUAAUAGCAUAGUAGCCUUGCUCUCUUUUUCUCUCUCUCUCUCUCUCUAUCUCUCUCUCUCUAUAUAUAUAUAUUAUUCAAAGUUUGUUGCCAGAGCGUCUCAUCUCAUUACACUUUCUGUAAAAUUACUAAACAAUUUAAGACUCAUCUUAUAUUUUUGACUAAUAAAUUAAUUUUGAUAUCAAAUAUAAUAAUACAGUACACAAAUACUAAUAACUCUCUUAGUUUAAAUUUCUGGUCCCGAAGCACAAGUAUUAACACUAGAGUUCUUAUUCUUCUUUUUCAUUCAUGAUUCUUUAUUCGAAGCUUUAUUCAUUUCAUAUAAAACUGUUAGAUGUCGCAUCAGAAACGUGAGAAAUAUUCCUACAAAAACAUUGGCGUCGGUAUAUAAAGCAUGCGGCCCUUGGCGCCUCCUCGCCAGCACAAGCGCCUCAAGUGUGUUAUUCACGAAAGUUCCCUUUUUUUGUGACAUGGCUCUGUUCUUGGGCACUCUGUGCAAUUGUUGUGUUCUUCUUUUGUUCUCCACUCUUUCUUUCUCUUUAUGUGUGUUGGGUAUAAAAUUAGAUGUUGAAUUNNNNNNNNNNNNNNNNNNNNNNNNNCAUUUUUUAUGAGAUUUUUAUUUUCAGCCGUUCAAUUUUAGACUACUUGUUUGAUAGGUAAAUGAUAUCGAAAAAUUAUGAAAUUUAGUUUCUAAAUACUUUCAAUAGUGUAGAUCAAGUCUAACGGAGCUUAUCGUCGAUUUGGCAGCCGCAUCAUCAAAACAACUUGGUAGCACGGAGCUCUCCUUGCUACCGAUAGUAUAGUAGCCUAGUUCUAUAUAUAUAUAU
Molecule: long non-coding RNA, 2784 nt
Filed under: Ananas comosus (pineapple)
Lineage: Eukaryota; Viridiplantae; Streptophyta; Magnoliopsida; Poales; Bromeliaceae
Description: long non-coding RNA (ACOM_LNC025879)
Source: RNAcentral